AUGUUUUAAAUUCAGAAGAUCUGCCUGCUCUGGGUCCACAGGUCCCUGUGCAUGGUUGGAAGGAGCUGGGCAGGAUGGGGGUGGGGGCAGUGUGUGUUUCUGUUAGGCACAGACCCCACCAACCCCUAUUGCCCUGUGUCCGCCUGCCUCACUUAGGCACGUUUGCCCUCCUGGCCCUGUGAGCAUUUGAGUCGCUCCUUGACCCCGCAGAGAGCCUGGAGCUUUUGGCCGGCACGUGUCGUUAGGAGGCCUGUGGACCUGACCCUCCAGGGGCUGCAGCCUCCUUACCCGGGCAGCUGUGUUUCCCUGGACAGGCCCAGCCCAGGGCAUCUGCCUGAAUCUCACCCCAACUCCAGACAGAGAACUGAAGGGGAGACAGGUUCUCCCAGAGACGCGGCUU
Molecule: long non-coding RNA, 400 nt
Filed under: Homo sapiens (human)
Lineage: Eukaryota; Metazoa; Chordata; Mammalia; Primates; Hominidae
Description: HSALNT0117945
Source: RNAcentral